CCUACGGGAGGCAGCAGUGAGGAAUCUUGGGCAAUGGACGGAAGUCUGAACCAGCCAUGCCGCGUGCAGGAAGACGGCUCUCUGAGUUGUAAACUGCUUUUUUACAAGGGUAAGCCUGAAUACGUGUACUCAUCUGAAAGUACUGGACGCAUAAGGAUCGGCUAACGCCGUGCCAGCAGCCGCGGUAAUACGGAGGAUCCAAGCGUUAUCCGGAUUUAUUGGGUUUAAAGGGUGCGUAGGCGGAUUGAUAAGUUAGAGGUGAAAUGUCCGAGCUUAACUCGGGAACUGCCUCUAAUACUGUUGAUCUAGAGAGUAGAUGCGGUAGGCGGAAUGUAUGGUGUAGCGGUGAAAUGCUUAGAGAUCAUACAGAACACCGAUUGCGAAGGCAGCUUACCAAUCUAUAUCUGACGUUGAGGCACGAAAGCGUGGGGAGCAAACAGGAUUAGAUACCCUGGUAGUC
RNAcentral lists this ribosomal RNA (460 nucleotides) under uncultured bacterium. RNAcentral describes it as "partial 16S ribosomal RNA". It matches the Rfam family "Bacterial small subunit ribosomal RNA", at positions 338 to 795 of the family's 1533-position model. The record is from RNAcentral.